RNAcentral lists this ribosomal RNA (225 nucleotides) under uncultured soil bacterium. RNAcentral describes it as "partial 16S ribosomal RNA". The record is from RNAcentral.
UCGUCCCUAGCUUUCGCGCCUCAGCGUCAGUGUCGGCCCAGCAACCCGCCUUCGCCGCAGGUGUUCCUCUCGAUAUCUACGCAUUUCACCGCUACACCGAGAAUUCCAGUUGCCCCUUCCGCACUCAAGCACGACAGUAUCACUUGACCGCUCUGAGUUAAGCCCGAGAGAUUUCACAAGUGACUUGUUGCGCCGCCUACGCGCCCUUUACGCCCAGUAAAUCCG